This 468-nucleotide ribosomal RNA is filed under the name uncultured bacterium. Its description in RNAcentral is "partial 16S ribosomal RNA". It matches the Rfam family "Bacterial small subunit ribosomal RNA", at positions 28 to 507 of the family's 1533-position model. The record is from RNAcentral.
GACGAACGCUGGCGGCGUGCUUAACACAUGCAAGUCGAACGGAAAGGCCCUGCUUUUGUGGGGUGCUCGAGUGGCGAACGGGUGAGUAACACGUGAGUAACCUGCCCUUGACUUUGGGAUAACUUCAGGCAACUGGGGCUAAUACCGGAUAGGAGCUCCUGCUUCAUGGUGGGGGUUGGACAGUUUCGGCGGUUGGGGAUGGACUCGCGGCUUUUCAGCUUGUUGGUGGGGUAGUGGCUUACCAAGGCUUUGACGGGUAGCCGGGCUGAGAGGGUGACCGGCCCAGCUUGGGUGGGAGUGAGGCCCCGCACACCCUCCGACGGGAGGGAGGGGUAGGGUUGCUCACGGGACGGACGCAUGCUGCACCAAGCCCUGGCGCGGGAUGGCGGCCGUUGUUUGGAUAACCACUUUCUCUUGCCAGGAACGGUAAUUACGGUUACUGGGUAAGAAGGCCCGGCUAACUUCGUG